CCGUAUGUGCUGGAGAGUCUGAAACUGAAUAUCAUAUUUGGUAUAGGGGAAGCGUCUUGCAAAUAGGAAGCAGGACUGUUCUUUUUGGAAUUCCCAUUGCUUAUGAGGUGUGGGCUAAUGAUGGUCCCAGAUAAUUGGUGAAGCUUUCAUCCAUUUGGAGAACUCAUUCCCCCUCUGCAGCACAGUAUCUUUUGAUGCUUAUGGCUACAGAACCAGCAGAUUUCCUCACACUGAUCCAGAAUAGGAGCAAACUUUAAUCCAGACAGUUUUGACAGUGGUGUCACUCAAGCUUAGGAUCUGCGCUAUUGUUUUCAUCUUAUCCAGGUGGGUCCUUUGUCUGGUACCAAUUAGAGACAUCAAAAUUGUAGUGGAGGUACUUCGACUCAGUAUUGAGACAUGAAUAUAUCUAUGAGGUUGCAUUUGUGUACAGUACACUACUGUGAAUUUUGUGUGCAAUGUGUUGCUCCGUUGUCAUUUUUAUGCAUAUUGUCAAUCGUUUUCUUCUAGUUCCAUAGCUAUGUACAUUUUCAUCUUCAAAUUAUUGAAUUGCUCUUGUACUCAACUUGACUACGAUUGGAAAUGCUUUCUACAGGUAGUGCAAAUAAGGUUAGUCUGGUUACAUGCCGUGCGAUCUGGACAACAACUUUAAAUCUGUAAAAGCUGGAAGUAAUCCCCUUGAUCAGGCGUUCUACUCUAUGCGGCCCUUGCAAUAUCAGAUUGUGGACUGAAGAAAUAUUUCAUAUUUAAGUUGACCUAGGAGAACUUCUGCAGGAUGGUAAUGGCCCGAAUAUGCAUAGUUCUGGGGUUUUCAGGCAUCUAAAUAGUCUCUGUGAGAAUAGCUUUGUGUGUUUGGCAGUGG
Molecule: long non-coding RNA, 859 nt
Filed under: Aquilegia coerulea
Lineage: Eukaryota; Viridiplantae; Streptophyta; Magnoliopsida; Ranunculales; Ranunculaceae
Description: long non-coding RNA (ACOE_LNC001375)
Source: RNAcentral